CCAGACUCCUACGGGAGGCAGCAGUGGGGAAUAUUGCACAAUGGGGGAAACCCUGAUGCAGCGACGCCGCGUGAGUGAAGAAGUAUUUCGGUAUGUAAAGCUCUAUCAGCAGGGAAGAAAAUGACGGUACCUGAUUAAGAAGCCCCGGCUAACUACGUGCCAGCAGCCGCGGUAAUACGUAGGGGGCAAGCGUUAUCCGGAUUUACUGGGUGUAAAGGGAGCGUAGACGGCAGCGCAAGUCAGAAGUGAAAGCCCGGGGCUCAACCGCGGGACUGCUUUUGAAACUGUUAAGCUUGAGUGCAGGAGAGGUAAGCGGAAUUCCUAGCGUAGCGGUGAAAUGCGUAGAUAUUAGGAGGAACACCAGUGGCGAAGGCGGCUUACUGGACCGUAACUGACACUGAGGCUCGAAAGCGUGGGGAGCAAACAGGAUUAGAUACCCCUGUAU
RNAcentral lists this ribosomal RNA (445 nucleotides) under uncultured bacterium. Its description in RNAcentral is "bacterial SSU rRNA". It matches the Rfam family "Bacterial small subunit ribosomal RNA", at positions 331 to 793 of the family's 1533-position model. The record is from RNAcentral.